Molecule: non-coding RNA, 162 nt
Organism: Afipia sp. GAS231
Lineage: Bacteria; Pseudomonadati; Pseudomonadota; Alphaproteobacteria; Hyphomicrobiales; Nitrobacteraceae
Rfam family: 6S / SsrS RNA
About the family: E. coli 6S RNA was the first non coding RNA to be sequenced, but its function was unknown until recently. It consists of 184 nucleotides that fold into an extended hairpin structure with a large single-stranded internal bulge. The 6S RNA specifically associates with RNA polymerase holoenzyme containing the sigma70 specificity factor.
Source: Rfam
GCGAAGCUGCGUCGUUCGUCAGGAGCCAUAAUAUCCCCGGGGCCUUAUCGAUCCUUUAGGGAACUGUCCCUGGCCGGGUCCGUGGACCCGGUCAUAUGGUGCCCACCUACUUUCGUAGGGAACUCCGGGAUCGAGUGCUUCAACGGCGAUCGCGGCCUCGCA